RNAcentral lists this ribosomal RNA (346 nucleotides) under uncultured bacterium. Its description in RNAcentral is "bacterial SSU rRNA". It matches the Rfam family "Bacterial small subunit ribosomal RNA", at positions 8 to 350 of the family's 1533-position model. The record is from RNAcentral.
AGAGUUUGAUCAUGGCUCAGGAUGAACGCUAGCUACAGGCUUAACACAUGCAAGUCGAGGGGCAGCAUGUUGGUUGCUUGCAACCAACGAUGGCGACCGGCGCACGGGUGAGUAACGCGUAUCCAACCUACCCUUGUCCAUCGGAUAACCCGUCGAAAGGCGGCCUAACACGAUAUGCGGUUCACAGCAGGCAUCUAACGUGAACGAAAUGUGAAGGAGAAGGAUGGGGAUGCGUCUGAUUAGCUUGUUGGCGGGGUAACGCCACCAAGGCUACGAUCAGUAGGGUUCUGAGAGGAAGGUCCCCCANAUUGGAACUGAGACACGGUCCAAACUCCGUACGGAGGCA